This 253-nucleotide ribosomal RNA is filed under the name uncultured bacterium. RNAcentral describes it as "partial 16S ribosomal RNA". It matches the Rfam family "Bacterial small subunit ribosomal RNA", at positions 524 to 776 of the family's 1533-position model. The record is from RNAcentral.
UACAGAGGUCUCAAGCGUUGUUCGGAUUCAUUGGGCGUAAAGGGUGCGUAGGUGGUGAUGCAAGUCUGGUGUGAAAUCUCGGAGCUCAACUCCGAAAUUGCGCCGGAUACUGCGUGACUCGAGGACUGUAGAGGAGAUCGGAAUUCACGGUGUAGCAGUGAAAUGCGUAGAUAUCGUGAGGAAGACCAGUUGCGAAGGCGGAUCUCUGGGCAGUUCCUGACACUGAGGCACGAAGGCCAGGGGAGCAAACGGG